UCCUUGUUAGUACAAUGGCUAGUAUAGGGCACUCUCACGAAACGUGUUCUGCUCAGAUCGGGGUUCAAUUCCCCGGCAGGGAA
This is a non-coding RNA of Violaceomyces palustris, 83 nucleotides long. The record is from the annotation of a GenBank genome assembly. Lineage: Eukaryota; Fungi; Basidiomycota; Ustilaginomycetes; Violaceomycetales; Violaceomycetaceae.